GACGAACGCUGGCGGCGUGCUUAACACAUGCAAGUCGAACGGUGAAGCGAGUGCUUGCACUCGUGGAUCAGUGGCGAACGGGUGAGUAACACGUGAGUAACCUGCCCAUCACUCUGGGAUAAGCACUGGAAACGGUGUCUACUACUGGAUACGACCAACCCUUGCAUGGGGUGUUGGUGGACAGCUUUAUCGGUGAUGGAUGGACUCGCGGCCUAUCAGCUUGUUGGCGGGGUAAUGGCCCACCAGGGCGACGACGGGUAGCCGGCCUGAGAGGGUGACCGGCCACACUGGGACUGAGACACGGCCCAGACUCCUACGGGAGGCAGCAGUGGGGAAUAUUGCACAAUGGGCGAAAGCCUGAUGCAGCGACGCCGCGUGAGGGAUGACGGCCUUCGGGUUGUAAACCUCUUUCAGCAGGGAAGAAGCGAAAGUGACGGUACCUGCAGAAGAAGCACCGGCUAACUACGUG
Molecule: ribosomal RNA, 469 nt
Filed under: uncultured bacterium
Lineage: Bacteria
Description: partial 16S ribosomal RNA
Rfam family: Bacterial small subunit ribosomal RNA
Source: RNAcentral